CUGGUUUUGAAUCUCCACGCAGCUUCAGUGUGCCCUACCAGCAGGGUCAUCACACUUCCAGUCCUGUCCUGUGGCUGCCCCUGGCUGAAAUGAUGACCUUUUUUUAGGGCAAGACUGAUAUAGCUCAUGCCAGAGCCCCAACAUCUAGCAUGGAGCCAGCCACUCAGCAAAUGCCUGCUGGGGAAAGAAAGGAUUCCCUUACCAGACGAGUGCCUGGAAUCCAAGACACGUGACCAGUUUCUGAAGGCUGGGAACUCUGAGGCACUGAGAGUAUCAUUCAUGUAACAGGCCCCCCAACGUGGAAAUGUGACCAUGUGCUUCCUAAGACUAUGAGUACCCGUGAUGAUUUUCCAUCAGUUAACUGUUGUAACAGACAGCACCAUAAUUUUAGUAACUAAACACUUGUGUAGGAAAAAGUGACUUGCAUGCUUUGAGGUUAAUAAAGAAAUAAGAAGAAGUAGAUGAUGAGGGCCUCUUACUUGAUUAGUGGGCGGGAAAUUAGGAGGAUUUCAUUAGCUUGGCCUGAGAGUGGCACCAACUUCCACCCACA
RNAcentral lists this long non-coding RNA (550 nucleotides) under Fukomys damarensis (Damara mole-rat). RNAcentral's name for it is "lncRNA (ENSFDAG00000028159.1)". The record is from RNAcentral. Lineage: Eukaryota; Metazoa; Chordata; Mammalia; Rodentia; Bathyergidae.